GAUGAACGCUGGCGGCGUGCCUAAUACAUGCAAGUCGAGCGAACAGACGAGGAGCUUGCUCCUCUGACGUUAGCGGCGGACGGGUGAGUAACACGUGGAUAACCUACCUAUAAGACUGGGAUAACUUCGGGAAACCGGAGCUAAUACCGGAUAAUAUAUUGAACCGCAUGGUUCAAUAGUGAAAGACGGUUUUGCUGUCACUUAUAGAUGGAUCCGCGCCGGAUUAGCUAGUUGGUAAGGUAACGGCUUACCAAGGCGACGAUGCGUAGCCGACCUGAGAGGGUGAUCGGCCACACUGGAACUGAGACACGGUCCAGACUCCUACGGGAGGCAGCAGUAGGGAAUCUUCCGCAAUGGGCGCAAGCCUGACGGAGCAACGCCGCGUGAGUGAUGAAGGUCUUCGGAUCGUAAAGCUCUGUUAUUAGGGAAGAACAAAUGUGUAAGUAACUAUGCCCGUCUUGACGGUACCUAAUCAGAAAGCAACGGCUAACUACGUG
RNAcentral lists this ribosomal RNA (497 nucleotides) under uncultured bacterium. RNAcentral's name for it is "partial 16S ribosomal RNA". It matches the Rfam family "Bacterial small subunit ribosomal RNA", at positions 28 to 507 of the family's 1533-position model. The record is from RNAcentral.